RNAcentral lists this ribosomal RNA (262 nucleotides) under uncultured bacterium. Its description in RNAcentral is "partial 16S ribosomal RNA". It matches the Rfam family "Bacterial small subunit ribosomal RNA", at positions 92 to 354 of the family's 1533-position model. The record is from RNAcentral.
UUAGUGGCGGACGGGUGAGUAACGCGUGGAAAACCUGCCGUAUACUGGGGGAUAACACUUAGAAAUAGGUGCUAAUACCGCAUAAGCGCACAGCUUCGCAUGAAGCGGUGUGAAAAACUCUGGUGGUAUACGAUGGUUCCGCGUCUGAUUAGCUAGUUGGUGGGGUAACGGCCUACCAAGGCAACGAUCAGUAGCCGGCCUGAGAGGGUGAACGGCCACAUUGGGACUGAGACACGGCCCAAACUCCUACGGGAGGCAGCAG